Molecule: ribosomal RNA, 482 nt
Filed under: uncultured bacterium
Lineage: Bacteria
Description: partial 16S ribosomal RNA
Rfam family: Bacterial small subunit ribosomal RNA
Source: RNAcentral
AUUGAACGCUGGCGGCAUGCCUUACACAUGCAAGUCGAACGGUAACAGGUCUUCGGAUGCUGACGAGUGGCGAACGGGUGAGUAAUACAUCGGAACGUGCCCGAUCGUGGGGGAUAACGGAGCGAAAGCUUUGCUAAUACCGCAUACGAUCUACGGAUGACAGCAGGGGACCGCAAGGCCUUGCGCGGACGGAGCGGCCGAUGGCAGAUUAGGUAGUUGGUGGGAUAAAAGCUUACCAAGCCGACGAUCUGUAGCUGGUCUGAGAGGACGACCAGCCACACUGGGACUGAGACACGGCCCAGACUCCUACGGGAGGCAGCAGUGGGGAAUUUUGGACAAUGGGCGAAAGCCUGAUCCAGCCAUGCCGCGUGCAGGAUGAAGGCCUUCGGGUUGUAAACUGCUUUUGUACGGAACGAAAAGACUCUUUCUAAUAAAGAGGGUCCAUGACGGUACCGUAAGAAUAAGCACCGGCUAACUACGUG